UCAAUAAAUUUUAUGAGGAGAGAGAAUAUAUAGAGUAUGUGUUCCUGAUCCUGUUUGGCACUCACUUACAGGCCAAAAAUCCAGACACAGAGAUACAGUAGCUAGAGAAAUGGAAGAGUGGAGCGAGCAUCCUAAACUAUCAUUGAGUGAAGGGAAAAGAGUAAAUAAUUAAAUAAAUAAAAAACAUUAGCCUUGUCUCAGCACAAACGUGAAAGAGCAUGAAAUGUGAUUUCAAUUACUACAACCAUGUCAGCGGCACUCUCCCGAGAGAUUAUUCAUAUGACGAAACUGCCAUCGCUCCCCACAACGUCAAUCCCUAACUAACUACCAACACCCGUUUCGUUUCGAAGACCUGCAACCACUAUGGUCGGCGGCGGUGGGAACCGACCGGAGGCGGAGCGGUGGCUCUACACCGCCAACAAGCUCCUGAGCGCGCGUGACCUGCACGGCGCGCGCUCCUUCGCGAUCCGCGCGCGUGAGUCGGACCCGACCUACGAGGCCUCGGAGCACCUCCUGACGGUGAUCGACACGCUCCUCGCCGGCGAGUCGCGGAUCAACGACCACCACCGCGAUUGGUACGGGAUCCUCCAAAUCCUCCGCUACACCACCAACAUGGACCACAUCGCCGCCCAGUAUCGCCGCCUCGCGCUCCUCCUUGACCCUCACCGCAACAUGUUCGCCUUCGCCAGCCACGCCUUUUCCCUCGUCAACGAUGCCUGGUCCGUGCUCUCCAUUCCCGCCAAGAAAGCCAUGUACGACAGCGAGCUCCGCUUGCUCACCGCUCCGGCGCCGCAACAUUAUUCUCUUCCCCCGCAGCCUCAACCCACGCCGAGGCGGAACCCUAGAUCCAGGGAUAAUUCGGCCAAGUUAAAUCCUAAUCCCACCCCGAACCGUGCCGAGUCGACUCGGACCGUGGAAACUGACACGGGAACGAGUUUCUGGACCUCGUGUCCUUAUUGUUAUGUUCUGUAUGAAUAUCCGAAGGUUUAUGAAGAGUGUACCUUACGGUGCCAGAGUUGUCGGAGGGGGUUUCAUGCGGUGGUGAUACGGUCGCCGCCACCGUUGAGUGGGAAAGACGGUUCUUAUUGUAGUUGGGGGUUUUUCCCAUUAGGGUUUUCUGGGAAUUCAAAGGAUGUGAAUGGGCAUGCCUCGAAUUGGAACCCGUUUUCGCCUUUGUUUCCUUGUCCCUUGAAGGGGUCGUCCUAUAGGAGGCCUCAGAGGAAUUGGGCUUACUAUGACGACGAGGCUGCGGCGGCGUUUAUCGAGUUGUCGGACCCAAGCGACGACGAUUCCGGUGACGGGGACUGGAGGGGUGGGAAGAAUAGGGGGAGGAAGAGGACUAGAGGGAAGAAAAAUUCUGGUGAUGGUAGGAGGGAAACUGUGAAGAGACCUAGGAGGGGUGCUCCUGUAGGAAAUGAGAAUUUGGGUUCUGGUGAUGCUGCUACUGGUGCUAGUGCAGAUGCUAAUGUUGCCUCUGCUGUGCCGGCUGGUGCGAGGGGGGAGUCUAGUAAGAAGGCUGCGUUGGGUGGUUCGAGGAGGCGGGGUGCUGGGAACUUGGGGAAGUUGGAUUUGAAUGUGGAGUUCAGCAAUGAGGUGGAGGAGCCUUCCCGUGGAGUGCGCGACCGCGAAGGGAAUGCUGCUGGACAUGCUGAGGAUAAUAUUGAAGGGAUUGGUUUUUUUGAAGGCCUUGACGAGUUCCUCAGUAGCUUGCCCAUUCUCAAUGUUGUGGCAGAUGAUAAGAUUGUGGUUGUAUAAUUGAGGAAGGAAUAUAUAUUGCCGAUGGAUGUUUUGAUCAUGUCUCACAAGCUGAUUAAUAAAGCAUGGGAGAGCUUGCUUUGGACUUUCGGUUAGUCCUUAAACUCCAGACUGUAUGUAUGACAAUCCAGAUGCAUAAACAUAGGUAGACGAUCCUCCUCUACUCUGCAUCUAUUGCCUUUAGAAGUAUUCUGCACUGCAAAACUUCUACUGGUGGUUCUGGAUCUUGAUAAAGCAUCUUGCCAGGUGCUAAUAGACAUUCUAUUUAGAGUUCUUUUAUUUAUCUGAAUUGUAAAUCUGAUCAGCAUAAGUUACACUUUCUUUCACCAUUUCAGACAUAAGGAGUUCUCUACAAUAUAAAUAGUCAUGAACAGGAUAAGAGGGGAAGCUUAAUGAAUUUUGAAAGAAUGGUUUUCCUUUAUUUGCUUGUUUUAUUGAUUUGUCUACAUUUUCCCUGUAGUUGGGAUGUGAUAACUAUAUUUGCUCAGAAGGCUCGUUUAUUUUUUCCUCAAAUGUAUUCUACUAUUAGAAUUUUUGCAUUUUCAGAAUUUCGGUUCUGUAUGCGGCGAUUUCUAGUUCUAAAUUUAAUAAGUCCAAGCAAAGUAUAUAUAAUUGGAUAGCAGAAACGUAGGGUGUGUUUGCAUAGGAAUUGCGUCCAACGCAACCUGCUUUCAGGCCAAAGCUUCCACACACCCUUCGUUUCUAGAAUAGUGGACUUAUUUUAAUAUGUCGAGAUAUAUAGCAUAUGUUUUUACAA
RNA transcript from Glycine soja, 2512 nucleotides. RefSeq lists it as uncharacterized. NCBI's taxonomy places the organism in Eukaryota, Viridiplantae, Streptophyta, Magnoliopsida, Fabales, Fabaceae. The transcript is spliced from 3 exons. The record is from RefSeq and is a predicted model, not a curated record.